Chenopodium quinoa (quinoa) is the source of this 1750-nucleotide RNA transcript. RefSeq lists it as uncharacterized. The record is from RefSeq and is a predicted model, not a curated record. The transcript is spliced from 3 exons. NCBI's taxonomy places the organism in Eukaryota, Viridiplantae, Streptophyta, Magnoliopsida, Caryophyllales, Amaranthaceae.
UUCUGAUGUGAGCUUCCUACUGCUUAUUCCAGCAUCUCAAUUUGAAACAAAAUCCACAAUAAAAUCAGAUUACAAGUAUGAACCAAAAUACAGAAAUUCCGCAAACAAGGAAGCCACAGAAGCUGCCAGAAAUGGAAACAGAAAUGCAACAUCCUAAGCCCAUAAUCAUUACAGUUGAUUCACCUUCAUCUCCUAUUACACCAACUUCUGCACCAAAGGAAAUUGGGACACCUGCUAUGUCUGUUUCGCCAACAAACUUUCAAGCAAGCAAUGAUCAAUGUGAGACGACUGAGGUCCAAGACAAGGAUCUUGACUUUGAUGCACCAGUGGUAUUAGCUUCUACCUUGCCUUCUGAUUCCAGUGGCCAAGUAAAUAACCAACUUCCGCAUUCUGCAAAGCCGCCUCUUGAGCGCUUAAUUCAAGCAGUGCAGCGUAUUUCUAAGGAAGCUCUGAGGAGUUCCAUGGAUGACAUUGCCUCGGCCAUGAGUGCUGUGAAUAACUUGCCCGCGUAUGCAAUUGAUGUUGAUUCACCAGCAGUAUAUUGUAGUACUGGUGAUGGAUACACAUCCUGUAAAAAAAUGAAACGUGACAUAAAUUCAGUGAGAGGGGUUGUGUCAGCCUUGGAUAAUUAUGGUUCCUGCAGAAAAAAGUUGAGAAAGGAGGUAUAAUACACUUUCCUGCAGCAUAGUUUAGCAUGAGCAAAUAGUAUGGUUUUUAGUCAUAGACAAGAUGUAUGUUCUUUACAGCAAAAUCAUCUUUGAACUAGAGUUUUGAGGCCUUAUAAAUGUCUGUAAGGUUCUUGGAAAGCGCGUGCUUAUGCUGUUUCAUAAUCUCUCAACUUUGUGCAGGUCAACAACGACUUAAUGGAUGAAAUCAGACAGAUAAACCAGAGACUUAUUGAGACAGUGCUAAAAGUAGAUUGUGAUUCUGAUUCUAGUAACGAUGAGACCAUCAUCAAAUGUACCUAUAAACCUGUGUAUUACAGUGAAAGUUUUAAGAGACAUUUUGGAUUUAUGGAAUCAAUCUUGACUCUUUCAAUCAAGAUUCUUGUUCCUUCUAACUACCCUAACACUCCACUUAAGAUCUUAGACAGGGUACCUGACGAAUGCUGGUGAGUGAAUACUUCCUCCGUUUUUAUUUUAAUGUCAUGCUUGAAAUGUGUAUCAUGACUAAUAAAUUAAAGUUGGGUUUCGAUGAAUUUAACUCAAAUUGGCUAUUCUGUUUCAGUAAAGAGACUAAAGACUUGUUGGAGAAGGCAAGAGCUAUAUUUGACAGGCGCCUUAAAGGUCUUGUGUCACUAGGACUAGGAGACAUGGCUCGAGCUUGGAAUGAUUGUGCUCGAUCGGUUAUUUCCGACUAUAUAGUUAGUCAUGGAGGAGAAACUUUCAGCUCUAAGUAUGGCACCUGGGAGUUUGUUUCACCAGAUUAAUGAAAUUCUAUGUAGGAAAACAAAAGUGAGGAAAUUCUGCUGCUAGUUGAGGGCCUUGAGGCUAUCAUAGGAUAUUACUGCCUUGUUUCUAUCUUGUGAAUAAUAUGCCAACAUAAAAAGUAAAUACUUGAUGUAAAUAUACACAUAAUAAGGUAGGUCUAUCACUUUGCUUCUAAAUAAAACUAGGACAUGCAUCAUGUAUUCAUGUAUACUCCUUACUUGACUUGUGACUAUAUGGUUGUUAAAAUUUGUCAAUGUGAUAUAAUAGUUUUAACAAAAGUAUAUGUUCCUUACUGUUAUUGUUUUGUUUGUAGUUUUAUA